RNAcentral lists this long non-coding RNA (1702 nucleotides) under Manacus vitellinus (golden-collared manakin). RNAcentral describes it as "lncRNA (ENSMVIG00005002793.1)". The record is from RNAcentral. Lineage: Eukaryota; Metazoa; Chordata; Aves; Passeriformes; Pipridae.
CCACCAUUCCCAAUCCCACAUUCCCCCAGGAUCAGAUGCAGGUGGAGGUGCAGGAGCUGGAGGGGGAUUUCGAGGCCCUGCUUUUCCCAUCAUUCCCACCAUUCCCAACCCCUGUAACUCCCCCAGGAUCAGAUGCAGGUGGAGGUGCAGGAGCUGGAGGGGGAUUUCGAGGCCCUGCACCGGUUCCUGGCGGGGGAGCAGGUCCAGCUGCUGCGGCAGCUCCGGGAGCGCCACGAGGCCCUGCUGGGGCGGCAGCGCCGGAAUUUGGGGAUGCUGGAGGAGAGGACGGCGGCCCUCAGGAGGCUCAUCGGGGAGGCCGAGGCUGCUGCCAGGCAGGACGGGCUCCAGAUGCUCAAGGUGGGAGCACUGGGAGAACUGGGAACACUGGGAAUACUGGGAUUGGGGGCUCAAGGUGGGCUGGGAGCACUGGGAAUGCUGGAGGAGAGGAUGGUGGCUCUGGGGAGGUUCACUGGGGAGGCCGAGGCUGCUGCCAGGCAGGACGGGCUCCAGCUGCUCAAGGUGGGGAUGCUGGGAGCACUGGGAGCACUGGGAAUGCUGGGAUUGGGGGCUGGGAGCACUGGGAGCACUGGGAAUGCUGGAGGAGAGGAUGGUGGCUCUCAGGAGGCUCAUCGGGGAGGCUGAGGCUGCUGCCAGGCAGGACGGGCUCCAGCUGCUCAAGGUGGGAGCGCUGGGAGAACUGGGAACACUGGGAUUACUGGGAACACUGGGAUUGGGGGCUGGGAGCACUGGGAGCACUGGGAAUGCUGGAGGAGAGGAUGGUGGCCCUCAGGAGGCUCAUCGGGGAGGCCGAGGCUGCUGCCAGGCAGGACGGGCUCCAGCUGCUCAAGGUGGGGAUGCUGGGAGCACUGGGAAUACUGGGAACACUGGGAUUGGGGGCUGGGAGCACUGGGAGCACUGGGAAUGCUGGAGGAGACGAUGGUGGCUCUCAGGAGGCUCAUCGGGGAGGCCGAGGCUGCUGCCAGGCAGGACGGGCUCCAGCUGCUCAAGGACAUCAAAAGCACCUUCAUCAGGUCAGUCCUUCCCUUCCCACUGGAAUCUCCUGGGAUUUUGGGGAUGGGGGGGGGGGAAAAUCCCACCCUGGGGGGGCUUUUCCAGCCUGGAACUGCCGGGAAUUCCUAAGGGGAAAUUCCACAGAUGGAAUUUUGGGAUGGUUGGGGAAGGCUGGGAAGGGGCCUGGGAGCCCCUCCAGGUCUCAUCAUCUCCUCCCAAACAGCCAAAUCCUAAUUUUUCCCCACUUUUCCCUCCUUUUCCCCUCCUUUUUCCCCCUUUUCCCCUCCUUUUUCCCCCUUUUUCCCUCCUUUUCCCCCCUUUUUCCUCCUUUUUUCCUCCUUUUUCCCUCCUUUUCCCCCCCUUUUCCCUCCUUUUUCCUCCCUUUUUCCCUCCUUUUCCCCCCUUUUCCAGGUGUGAGACCAUCGAAUUCCAGGAGCCCGAGAUGGUGCCCGUGGACGUGGGGAAGAAAUUCCGGAAUUGUUUCCUGCAGGACGUGGUGCUGAGGAAGAUGGAAAAGGUCUUCAGCAAAGUGCCCCAAGGUGGGGAAAUUGGGGUUAAAAGGGGUGGAAAUUUGAGGGUAAAAAGGUGAAAAUUUGGGGUUAAAAAGGGUGAAAAUUUGGGGUUAAAAGGGGUGAAAAUUUGGGGUUAAAAUUUGGGGUUAAAGGGGUGAAAAUUUGGGGUUAAAAGGGUG